GUGGGGAAUCUUCCGCAAUGGACGAAAGUCUGACGGAGCGACGCCGCGUGAGUGAUGAAGGCCUUCGGGUCGUAAAGCUCUGUCAUCGGGGACGAACGGCCUCAGCAGGUAAUGGCUGGGGAUUGACGGUACCCGAGAAGGAAGCCACGGCUAACUACGUGCCAGCAGCCGCGGUAAUACGUAGGUGGCAAGCGUUGUCCGGAAUUAUUGGGCGUAAAGCGCGUGCAGGUGGGAUCUUAAGUCCAUUUUGAAAGUUCGGAGCUCAACUCCGUGAUGGGAUGGAAACUGGGAUUCUUGAGUACCGGAGAGGAAAGCGGAAUUCCCCGUGUAGCGGUGAAAUGCGUAGAUAUGGGGAGGAACACCAGUGGCGAAGGCGGCUUUCUGGACGGUGUCUGACACUGAGGCGCGAAAGCCAGGGGAGCGAACGGGAUUAGAUACCCGGGUAGUCC
Molecule: ribosomal RNA, 449 nt
Filed under: uncultured bacterium
Lineage: Bacteria
Description: partial 16S ribosomal RNA
Rfam family: Bacterial small subunit ribosomal RNA
Source: RNAcentral